UACGUAGGUGGCAAGCGUUGUCCGGAAUUACUGGGUGUAAAGGGAGCGCAGGCGGGAAGCCAAGUCAGCUGUGAAAACUACGGGCUUAACUUGUAGACUGCAGUUGAAACUGGUUUUCUUGAGUGAAGUAGAGGUUGGCGGAAUUCGGAGUGUAGCGGUGAAAUGCGUAGAUAUUCGGAGGAACACCGGUGGCGAAGGCGGCCAACUGGGCUUUAACUGACGCUGAGGCUCGAAAGUGUGGGGAGCAAACAGG
Molecule: ribosomal RNA, 253 nt
Filed under: uncultured bacterium
Lineage: Bacteria
Description: partial 16S ribosomal RNA
Rfam family: Bacterial small subunit ribosomal RNA
Source: RNAcentral